Molecule: long non-coding RNA, 457 nt
Filed under: Coffea arabica (coffee)
Lineage: Eukaryota; Viridiplantae; Streptophyta; Magnoliopsida; Gentianales; Rubiaceae
Description: long non-coding RNA (CARA_LNC007777)
Source: RNAcentral
AAGAACUCUUGAGCUGUUUUUCUUGCUUUGUUGUUCGGCCAGAUGAGGGAGCAAGAGAGAGAAAUUGUGGUCUGAAAUGAGGCUUCCAAAGGAAGCUUAAUGACUAAGGAUUGGGUGCACAAAAGUCAACCGCAAAAAGUGCGCGCACGCGCGCGUUUUGUGCUGGAUUCCUCUCGCGUUUGUUUCACUAGUGCACUAAACCUCUAAGGCACUUAUAUUCAUAUAAAUAUUAUUCACUCUUAAUUGUCCUCAAAUAAGGGUCUAAAGUUCCUCAAUUGAAAUCGCGCGUGUGAAAACGCGUAUCUCCAAUUUAAGCGCAAUAACGCGAAACUUCCGAGAAAUUCUUAUAACGAUAGUACUAAUAACUAUCACUUGAGUAUUUAAACAUUAAAAUGCCUAAUUUAGGUCCAUUGUACAUGUCUCUAAUAUUUCAAACCUAUUGUACUCUCAAUCGAUC